CUCAUUUUCACUGAUAUGAUUUGACAAGUCAUUGCAUAUUCGACUCUCUAUAAAGUAUGGCUGCUUGUCCGCAAGUGGAGAUCUUGCAACUUUGCAAUGGUUUAUCAUUUAUGCUCUUGCUUGUGAAUCACAACAGGAAAUGCAAAAGGAGACGAUAUAUAUAUAUACGCUUUCCUCUUUUUUAUUUUUUUAUGAUAAGUGGAUUAGAAGGGAUGAAAAUUCUUGUCUUCGCUGUUUGUUUGCAUCCAUUACAAGGGAUUCAAUGCAAACUUUUUCUUUUUCACCACAGUGUCCCAUGACUUUACCCGCUUAUGCAAUUCACAUUUGAGCUGAGUGGUAUUCAGGCAAAAUUCUUUUAACAGUGGUGACCCUCUCAACAAUGGCGACUCUCAAAUUCAAAGUUUAACUUUAAAGACUGAUGAUUGGAUCAAAUGGCUGUUUAUUUUUAUCACUGUAGCUCAAUGAGAUGGUCUUCAUUUGUGUUUUAAUUUCAUUGAUUUUUCUCAUACGAUUUUUUUUUAAUUUUUUGAUAUUGGAUAUUACAUUGCCUUGUUGAUCUUGUAUAAAAGUGUUUGAUUUAUA
Molecule: unclassified non-coding RNA, 582 nt
Filed under: Hevea brasiliensis (rubber tree)
Lineage: Eukaryota; Viridiplantae; Streptophyta; Magnoliopsida; Malpighiales; Euphorbiaceae
Source: RNAcentral